Molecule: ribosomal RNA, 463 nt
Filed under: uncultured bacterium
Lineage: Bacteria
Description: partial 16S ribosomal RNA
Rfam family: Bacterial small subunit ribosomal RNA
Source: RNAcentral
GACGAACGCUGGCGGCGUGCUUAACACAUGCAAGUCGAACGGUAAGGCCCCAGCUUGCUGGGGUACACGAGUGGCGAACGGGUGAGUAACACGUGGGUGACCUGCCCCGCACUUCGGGAUAAGCCUGGGAAACUGGGUCUAAUACCGGAUAGGACCGCACCGUGAGGGGGUGGUGGAAAGUUUUUCGGUGUGGGAUGGGCCCGCGGCCUAUCCGCUUGUUGGGGGGGUAAUGGCCUACCAAGGCGGCGACGGGUAGCCGGCCUGAGAGGGUGGACGGCCACAUGGGGACUGGGACACGGCCCAGACUCCUACGGGAGGCAGCGGUGGGGAAUAUUGCACAAUGGGCGGAAGCCUGAUGCAGCGACGCCGGGUGGGGGAUGACGGCCUUCGGGUUGUAAACUCCUUUCACCAUCGACGAAGGUUUUCUGACGGUAGAUGGAGAAGAAGCACCGGCUAACUACGU